Long non-coding RNA from Manis pentadactyla (Chinese pangolin), 927 nucleotides. RefSeq lists it as uncharacterized. The transcript is spliced from 4 exons. NCBI's taxonomy places the organism in Eukaryota, Metazoa, Chordata, Mammalia, Pholidota, Manidae. The record is from RefSeq and is a predicted model, not a curated record.
ACGGACGGACGGGCCUGGUUGGGGGGCCUGCAGGGAGGGCCGGGCCGGCCGAGAGCGGCGCCUCCCCCAUCCUGGGUGCAGCUCCGGGCUGUCCGCCGAGGGAGGCGGCGCGCAGACCCGACGCGAGGGCGGGAAAGCGAUGUCCAGAGCGCGUAGCCCGCAGCAGUCGCCCUCCCCUCGGUGUUCCGAGGUUGAACAGCUGGCCUAAAUCCUCCCCCAGCCGCGGCCCACGGAUACGCUUCCCCUUCCAACCGGGUCCCCUCCGCCUGGUCGCCAGUAGGUGGUCACUCCGCACCUGCGGUGCCACCGGGUGAUGCCGCGACCCUGUUUCGUGUCCCGCGUCCUAGGGCUCUUGAUGGGCGCCACGCCUGCCCCUGUGAAAUGCGCUGAUGCUUGCAGGGACCCGAAGGCGCCGGGCACACAGUGAGGGAGGGCGCCAAGGUUUCCUUCUGUGAACCCUCCCAGGGCUGUUAGAGAGCCUCUAGAGGCACGUGGCCCCGAGCUCCGUCUGACUGCUUCAUUGCCUUUACUAAUGCCUCUGACAUCAAGCGGACAUCCCGGAGCCUGGCUCUGCCUCCUGGGAGCUUUCCCGGUUCCCAGAUCCCCAGCCGGUCUCGACAGCAGUCAUCGUGUGAACAGCUGGAUGUGGUUGCAAGAGGUGGUCAAGAAACGAAUAUGAGUAGGAGAAUGAUCUGCCUUCAGAGCAUCCAAGUUCAGCAAGGAGAAUGAAUAACCUCGCUGAUCCACAAAGGACUUAUGACUAACAUUUAUUUUAACCAUAUUUGCCAAAGCAUGUUGGAAUCAUGAACUGACUGUAUUCAAAUAAUAAUGUGUCACGCUGGAAGAAGCUGCGCCAGCAGGCCAGCACCUCUGUGACCCUGUGGCCCAAACAGACUGGACCCGGGCAAGAAGUGACAGACUGCAGCA